UACGUAGGGGGCAAGCGUUGUUCGGAUUCAUUGGGCGUAAAGGGUGCGUAGGCGGCGCGGUAAGUCGGGUGUGAAAUCUCGGAGCUUAACUCCGAAACUGCAUUCGAUACUGCCGUGCUUGAGGACUGGAGAGGAGACUGGAAUUUACGGUGUAGCGGUGAAAUGCGUAGAUAUCGUAAGGAAGACCAGUGGCGAAGGCGGGUCUCCGGACAGUUCCUGACGCUGAGGCACGAAGGCCAGGGGAGCAAACGGG
This 253-nucleotide ribosomal RNA is filed under the name uncultured bacterium. RNAcentral describes it as "partial 16S ribosomal RNA". It matches the Rfam family "Bacterial small subunit ribosomal RNA", at positions 524 to 776 of the family's 1533-position model. The record is from RNAcentral.